UGCGAGCUACAUUGCAGUCGAGCGGUAGAGAGAAUCUUGCUUCUCUUGAGAGCGGCGGACGGGUGAGUAAUGCCUAGGAAUCUGCCUGGUAGUGGGGGAUAACGUUCGGAAACGGACGCUAAUACCGCAUACGUNCUACGGGAGAAAGCAGGGGACCUUCGGGCCUUGCGCUAUCANAUGAGCCUAGGUCGGAUUAGCUAGUUGGUGAGGUAAUGGCUCACCAAGGCGACGAUCCGUAACUGGUCUGAGAGGAUGAUCAGUCACACUGGAACUGAGACACGGUCCAGACUCCUACGGGAGGCAGCAGUGGGGAAUAUUGGACAAUGGGCGAAAGCCUGAUCCAGCCAUGCCGCGUGUGUGAAGAAGGUCUUCGGAUUGUAAAGCACUUUAAGUUGGGAGGAAGGGCAGUUACCUAAUACGUGAUUGUUUUGACGUUACCGACAGAAUAAGCACCGGCUAACUCUGUGCCAGCAGCCGCGGUAAUACAGAGGGUGCAAGCGUUAAUCAGAAUUACUGGGCGUAAAGCGCGCGUAGGUGGUUAGUUAAGUUGGAUGUGAAAUCCCCGGGCUCAACCUGGGAACUGCAUUCAAAACUGACUGACUAGAGUAUGGUAGAGGGUGGUGGAAUUUCCUGUGUAGCGGUGAAAUGCUUAGAUGUGGGAAAGGACACCAGUGGCGAAGGCGACCGCCUGGACGAUACGGACGCUGGSGGUCGGGGGCGUGGGGAGCAAAGGGAUUAGUCCGCGGUAGUCGCCGCCGUAAACGAUGUCAAGUAGCCGUAGAGAGCCUUGAGUCUUAGUGGCGACUGACGCAUUAAGUGGGCCGCCUGGGGAGCGCGGGCGGAAUGAACGNGAGUGAAUUCACGGGGGCACAGACAACCGGCGGGCGUGGAUUUAAUUCAAAGGAGCGCGGCAACNCUCAACG
RNAcentral lists this ribosomal RNA (923 nucleotides) under Pseudomonas sp. BSH89. Its description in RNAcentral is "bacterial SSU rRNA". It matches the Rfam family "Bacterial small subunit ribosomal RNA", at positions 45 to 976 of the family's 1533-position model. The record is from RNAcentral. Lineage: Bacteria; Pseudomonadati; Pseudomonadota; Gammaproteobacteria; Pseudomonadales; Pseudomonadaceae.